Molecule: unclassified non-coding RNA, 1417 nt
Filed under: Hevea brasiliensis (rubber tree)
Lineage: Eukaryota; Viridiplantae; Streptophyta; Magnoliopsida; Malpighiales; Euphorbiaceae
Source: RNAcentral
UUAAAGUUGGAGAUAUAAUAUUUGAGUUAUUUUUGUGGAUUUGAACUAGGUUAAUUACAAUUUAAUAAAUUUUAUGAGGUUUAAUCUAUUUCUUGUGUGCUUAUUUACAUGCUUUGUGAAAGGCCCCAUUAAGUUAUGCUCUUAAUCCUUGGUUAAAGGACCAAAAAAAGAAGACCAAGUGAUAGAUAAUUAAAAAAUUGGGCUUAAUUAGCUUAGAUCUAGAAAUAGACUAAGGAUUAAGAGGGUUAAUAAAUUGAUUAAAGUACCAAUAGGUCUUGAUUAAUUUUAAACUCUACGAAAGUAGGAUUUAAUUAACUAAGGCACUCUUUGAUUAACUCGAAAGAGAUUUCAAAGGAUUUUAGAAUCGGUCUUCUUUAAACCCAUAAAUUUCAUAGAUUGGGCUAGCUAGGAAAAAUUUCAAAUUGACUUGAAUAUGAAUCCUUAACUCCGGAAUCGCUUUUUAUUAAUUGUUGCUUGAAAUUUUACUUUUGAGUGCUUAGUUUACUCUAAUUUUAUUAAUUAUACAUGCAUUUUAUAUAGUUAUUUAAGUUAAAUUUCAUAGUCAUUUUAUUGAUUUGUUAGUCAUUUUUAAAUAAUUUUAUUAGUCAUUUAGUUAAAUUUUCAUAAUUGUUAAUUUCUGGACUAAUUUGUAAUUGUUGCUUUUGUUUUGUAGAUAAAAUAGUGUUUUUGAGGGAGUAAAAGGUAAUUGUGUAAGUAAAGAGUGAUUUUUUGGUCCAAAAGUACAAAAAAUGAAGUUUGAAAAUUGAAGAAUUUAGAACUUGCCGAAAUCUGUACAAGGUAUUGCACAGCCUAUACAGCUUUUGUAUAAAAAUACAAGAAAUUUUAGACUUGCUGAAAUCUACACAAGGGAGUGCACAGCCUAUGCAGGUCACUUGUGCACCUCUACGGAAGAUAAUCUAAAGCUGUCGAAACUUGCACAGCCUAUGCAGCUCGCUUGUGCACCUUUACAGAAAAUUGCCAGGACAUGCUGAAACCUGCAUAGUCUGUGCACCUUCAUGAAAAAACUUUGGAAUUUGUAAAAAGUGCACAAGAUCUUGCAUGGGCAAUGCAUGGCGUGUGCACACCUCAUUAAUUGGCUGAAGAAAGAAAUUUCUCACAUGUGUGAUUACCUCAAAUACACUAUUUUUGGGCCAACCUAGAGUUCUCUGUCAAGGGAGUAUAAAAGCCACUCUUACAUCAUUUUACUGGAAGAAGAAAGAUUGAAAAAAGGAAGGAAAAGUAUAGUAAGAGCCGACACUUCCAUUUUUGGAGUAGGAUUUGGAUUCUUCUCUUCUUCACAUUUUCUACACUUCUUCUAUCGGGUUUCUUUAGUUUUAAUUUAUUUUUCACAUUUUAUUUCUUUUUCUACACAAAAUCUCUUGUAUUAAAUAUGGAUUGUGAGUAGUUUUCUUUGAUU